RNAcentral lists this ribosomal RNA (253 nucleotides) under uncultured bacterium. Its description in RNAcentral is "partial 16S ribosomal RNA". It matches the Rfam family "Bacterial small subunit ribosomal RNA", at positions 524 to 776 of the family's 1533-position model. The record is from RNAcentral.
UACGAAGGGGGCUAGCGUUGCUCGGAAUGACUGGGCGUAAAGGGCGCGUAGGCGGACGGCUUUGUCGGGCGUGAAAUUCCAGGGCUUAACCUUGGGGCUGCGUUCGAGACGGGUUGUCUAGAGUUUGGAAGAGGGUCGUGGAAUUCCCAGUGUAGAGGUGAAAUUCGUAGAUAUUGGGAAGAACACCGGUGGCGAAGGCGGCGACCUGGUCCUUGACUGACGCUGAGGCGCGAAAGCUAGGGUAGCAAACGGG